Molecule: transfer RNA, 69 nt
Filed under: Pongo abelii (Sumatran orangutan)
Lineage: Eukaryota; Metazoa; Chordata; Mammalia; Primates; Hominidae
Rfam family: tRNA
About the family: Transfer RNA (tRNA) molecules are approximately 80 nucleotides in length. Their secondary structure includes four short double-helical elements and three loops (D, anti-codon, and T loops).
Source: Rfam by way of RNAcentral
AGGGGCUUAGCUUAAUUAAAGUGGUUGAUUUGCAUUCAAUUGAUGCAGAGUGGAGCCUUGCAGUCCUUA